GGGGAUUUAGCUCAGUGGUAGAGCGCUUGCCUAGCAAGCACAAGGCCCUGGGUUCAGUCCCCC
This 63-nucleotide transfer RNA is filed under the name Rattus norvegicus (Norway rat). It matches the Rfam family "tRNA", at positions 1 to 62 of the family's 71-position model. Rfam says of the family: Transfer RNA (tRNA) molecules are approximately 80 nucleotides in length. Their secondary structure includes four short double-helical elements and three loops (D, anti-codon, and T loops). Further hydrogen bonds mediate the characteristic L-shaped molecular structure. tRNAs have two regions of fundamental functional importance: the anti-codon, which is responsible for specific mRNA codon recognition, and the 3' end, to which the tRNAs corresponding amino acid is attached (by aminoacyl-tRNA synthetases). tRNAs cope with the degeneracy of the genetic code in two manners: having more than one tRNA (with a specific anti-codon) for a particular amino acid; and 'wobble' base-pairing, i.e. permitting non-standard base-pairing at the 3rd anti-codon position. Lineage: Eukaryota; Metazoa; Chordata; Mammalia; Rodentia; Muridae. The record is from Rfam by way of RNAcentral.